CAGAAUCUGUAAUUAGAGUGCUAUGCCGUGCAGUACUUCAGCAUGAUAGAAGGCUUUACACUAAAAACUGAAGAAAGUGGGACACUUGAACUGACAUUCCUUACAUGUAUAUAUGUGGAGACUUCCAUUUUCAGUGGUGCGAGUUUGUUGAUUUAACUAUGGAAUCUGCCUAGGACUACUGGAAAGAACAUGCUUUAAAAAAAAAAGGAAGCAAUUGACCCAAGCAAUUGACUGCAUCUGUUGUAAUGUGGAAAUAUUACUGGCCAACACUAAUCUUGUUAACUGUAAGUUCCAGGAAUAUAAGAACCAGAACAAUACGUCAUGUCUGCAGUUGAACAUGCGGAUCUUGGUUUGGCCUCUUCAGUCAUCUCUGGACUUACUGAUGACUUCCCUAUCUAUUGGAUGACUGUCAUCCUUAUAUCAAGGUGCUGCCACUGCUGCUUUGGCUGAGUAAGCAAGCAGGAUCAGCACAAGUACCCACAGAGCCAAAUUCAUAUUUGGUGAUCAUGAAUAUGUACUCAUGCAAGACUGGUUUUGAAUGAAGGUUUUGUUGAAGAAAAAUAGUAGCUAUUAGUCUGAUAACUUUGGGCCUGGGCUUCAGUGCCUCCAGUUGGAUUAAAUCCCUUACCACAAAGACCCAGAAGUGCCAGCAGAAAGAAAGACAAGACAGAGAGACAAAGUAUUUUAUUUCUGUAUUGUUUUUGCAUGUGAUGAUAAACAAACAGAAAAGCCCUUCACCCAACAGUAUAAAAGUAAACCCACAGGAAGAACCUUCAAAAGGAAAACAGCACUAAUGGUAAUUUUAACAUAACUAAACAAUCAAAGGAGUCUCUGG
Molecule: long non-coding RNA, 835 nt
Organism: Alligator sinensis (Chinese alligator)
Lineage: Eukaryota; Metazoa; Chordata; Crocodylia; Alligatoridae
Exons: 7
Source: RefSeq, a predicted model, not a curated record